UGGUGGAGUGAUUUGUCUGGUUAAUUCCGUUAACGAACGAGACCUCGACCUACUAACUAGUUUGCGCUACUCUUUGGGUAGUCGUAAGCUUCUUAGAGGGACUAUCGGCUGUUAGCCGAUGGAAGUUCGAGGCAAUAACA
This 140-nucleotide ribosomal RNA is filed under the name uncultured eukaryote. RNAcentral describes it as "partial 18S ribosomal RNA". It matches the Rfam family "Eukaryotic small subunit ribosomal RNA", at positions 1299 to 1458 of the family's 1831-position model. The record is from RNAcentral.